Molecule: ribosomal RNA, 811 nt
Filed under: Blastomyces parvus
Lineage: Eukaryota; Fungi; Ascomycota; Eurotiomycetes; Onygenales; Ajellomycetaceae
Description: partial 28S ribosomal RNA
Rfam family: Eukaryotic large subunit ribosomal RNA
Source: RNAcentral
AACGGCGAGUGAAGCGGCAAAAGCUCAAAUUUGAAAUCUGGCCCCUUCGGGGCCCGAGUUGUAAUUUGUAGAGGAUGCUUCGGGCGUGGCCGCGGUCUAAGUCCCCUGGAACGGGGCGUCGCAGAGGGUGAGAAUCCCGUCUUCGGCCGGCCGGCUUCGCCCAUGUGAAGCUCCUUCGACGAGUCGAGUUGUUUGGGAAUGCAGCUCUAAAUGGGUGGUAAAUUUCAUCUAAAGCUAAAUACUGGUCGGAGACCGAUAGCGCACAAGUAGAGUGAUCGAAAGAUGAAAAGCACUUUGAAAAGAGAGUUAAACAGCAUGUGAAAUUGUUGAAAGGGAAGCGCUUGCGACCAGAGUCGGCCGCGGGGGUUCAGCGGGCAUUCGUUGCCCGUGCACUCCCCCGUGGCCGGGCCAGCGUCGGUUUCGACGGUCGGUCAAAGGCCCCCGGAAUGUGUCACCCUUCGGGGUGUCUUAUAGCCGGGGGUGCAAUGCGGCCAGUCGGGACCGAGGAACGCGCUUCGGCACGGACGCUGGCUUAAUGGUCGUAAGCGACCCGUCUUGAAACACGGACCAAGGAGUCUAACAUCCACGCGAGUGUUCGGGUGUCAAACCCGUCCGCGCAGUGAAAGCGAACGGAGGUGGGAACCCUUAAGGGUGCACCAUCGACCGAUCCAGAAGUCUUCGGAUGGAUUUGAGUAAGAGCGUGGCUGUUGGGACCCGAAAGAUGGUGAACUAUGCCUGAAUAGGGUGAAGCCAGAGGAAACUCUGGUGGAGGCUCGCAGCGGUUCUGACGUGCAAAUCGAUCGUCAAAUUU